This 253-nucleotide ribosomal RNA is filed under the name uncultured bacterium. RNAcentral's name for it is "partial 16S ribosomal RNA". It matches the Rfam family "Bacterial small subunit ribosomal RNA", at positions 524 to 776 of the family's 1533-position model. The record is from RNAcentral.
UACGUAGGGGGCAAGCGUUGUCCGGAAUCAUUGGGCGUAAAGAGCGCGUAGGCGGCCCAGUCAGUCCGCUCUGAAAGUCAGGGGCUCAACCCCUGAAUGCGGGUGGAUACUGCUGGGCUAGAGUCCGGAAGAGGCGAGUGGAAUUCCUGGUGUAGCGGUGAAAUGCGCAGAUAUCAGGAGGAACACCGGUGGCGAAGGCGGUUCUCUGGGCAUGUCCUGACGCUGAGGAGCGAAAGUGUGGGGAGCGAACAGG